UACAGAGGUCUCAAGCGUUGUUCGGAUUCAUUGGGCGUAAAGGGCUCGUAGGCGGUUCGUCACGUCGGGAGUGAAAACUCGGGGCUUAACCCCGAGCCUGCUUCCGAUACGGGCAGACUAGAGGUAGGCAGGGGAGAGCGGAACUCCUGGUGUAGCGGUGGAAUGCGCAGAUAUCAGGAGGAACACCGGUGGCGAAGGCGGAUCUCUGGGCCGUAACUGACGCUGAGGAGCGAAAGCAUGGGGAGCGAACAGG
RNAcentral lists this ribosomal RNA (253 nucleotides) under uncultured bacterium. Its description in RNAcentral is "partial 16S ribosomal RNA". It matches the Rfam family "Bacterial small subunit ribosomal RNA", at positions 524 to 776 of the family's 1533-position model. The record is from RNAcentral.